RNAcentral lists this transfer RNA (73 nucleotides) under Methylacidiphilales bacterium. Its description in RNAcentral is "Candidatus Methylacidiphilales bacterium tRNA-Ile". It matches the Rfam family "tRNA". Rfam says of the family: Transfer RNA (tRNA) molecules are approximately 80 nucleotides in length. Their secondary structure includes four short double-helical elements and three loops (D, anti-codon, and T loops). Lineage: Bacteria; Pseudomonadati; Verrucomicrobiota; Methylacidiphilae; Methylacidiphilales. The record is from RNAcentral. RNAcentral also lists the same sequence under 1 other name.
GGGCUUGUAGCUCAGCGGUUAGAGCAGGCGACUCAUAAUCGCUUGGUCGCGGGUUCAAAUCCCGCCGAGCCCA